RNAcentral lists this ribosomal RNA (253 nucleotides) under uncultured bacterium. Its description in RNAcentral is "partial 16S ribosomal RNA". It matches the Rfam family "Bacterial small subunit ribosomal RNA", at positions 524 to 776 of the family's 1533-position model. The record is from RNAcentral.
UACAGAGGGGGCAAGCGUUGUUCGGAAUUACUGGGCGUAAAGGGCGCGUAGGCGGCCUGCUAAGUCGAACGUGAAAUCCCUGGGCUCAACCCAGGAACUGCGUCCGAUACUGGUUGGCUUGAAUCCGGGAGAGGGAUGUGGAAUUCCAGGUGUAGCGGUGAAAUGCGUAGAUAUCUGGAGGAACACCGAUGGCGAAGGCAGGUCUCUGGGCUGACACUGACGCUCAUGCACGAAAGCGUGGGGAGCAAACAGG